GCCACGAUAGCUCAAGUGGUAGGGUAGCGGCAUUUUAAGCCGAAGGUCGUGGGUUCGAAUCCCGCUCGUGACA
This is a non-coding RNA of Cimex lectularius (bed bug), 73 nucleotides long. The record is from the annotation of a RefSeq genome assembly. NCBI's taxonomy places the organism in Eukaryota, Metazoa, Arthropoda, Insecta, Hemiptera, Cimicidae.